CCUACGGGUGGCUGCAGUGGGGAAUAUUGGACAAUGGGGGCAACCCUGAUCCAGCCAUGCCGCGUGUGUGAAGAAGGCCCUCGGGUUGUAAAGCACUUUCAGUGAGGAAGAACGCCUGGUGGUUAAUACCCAUCAGGAAAGACAUCACUCACAGAAGAAGCACCGGCUAACUCCGUGCCAGCAGCCGCGGUAAUACGGAGGGUGCGAGCGUUAAUCGGAAUUACUGGGCGUAAAGCGCGCGUAGGUGGCUUGAUAAGCCGGUUGUGAAAGCCCCGGGCUCAACCUGGGAACGGCAUCCGGAACUGUCAAGCUAGAGUGCAUGAGAGGAAGGUAGAAUUCCCGGUGUAGCGGUGAAAUGCGUAGAGAUCGGGAGGAAUACCAGUGGCGAAGGCGGCCUUCUGGACUGACACUGACACUGAGGUGCGAAAGCGUGGGUAGCAAACAGGAUUAGAUACCCCGGUAGUC
Molecule: ribosomal RNA, 465 nt
Filed under: Vreelandella stevensii
Lineage: Bacteria; Pseudomonadati; Pseudomonadota; Gammaproteobacteria; Oceanospirillales; Halomonadaceae
Description: partial 16S ribosomal RNA
Rfam family: Bacterial small subunit ribosomal RNA
Source: RNAcentral